Molecule: long non-coding RNA, 4923 nt
Organism: Rattus norvegicus (Norway rat)
Lineage: Eukaryota; Metazoa; Chordata; Mammalia; Rodentia; Muridae
Source: RefSeq, a predicted model, not a curated record
CCUGCAGCAGGGGAAAGCGUGUGACUGUACUUGUAGCCACGAGGCUGUGAGAUGAUGCCCUACUUCCUAGUGCUGAUGAGAAAGACCCAGCUUCUCCCCACGGCUUCCUAAGACGAUGUAACCCCGGCCUAGAGGAGGCGAGGUCUUUCCUGCAUCUACUCUGCCUGUCUCUGCAGCAGAUGCUCUGCACCUUUCUCCUUGCAAAUGCAGGGGGUGUUGGGGAUUUAGCUCAGUGGUUGAGCGCUUGCCUAGCAAGCGCAAAGCCCUGGGUUCGGUCCCCAGCUCCGAAAAAAAAAAAGAAAAAAGAAAAAAAAAUACAGGGGCAGUCACAGUGGACUCACUUGGCUUCCUCCAGCUCCUCCGUCCUCUGUAUGGCGUCCGUCUCAUACUUGGUCCUCCACUGGGCCACCUCUGAGUUGGCCUUGGACAGGACACGCUGCAGCUCGGCCUUGGCCUCCAUUUCUUCUUCGUACUGUUCCCGCAGCAGGUCGCAGUCAUGCCGGGCUGACUGCAGUGCGUGGGCCAAGGCAUUCUUGGCCUGGGAAGAGGUGGGCACUGAGAAGAUUGGAGCAAACCCAGACCUCCAGUCUCUACUGUCUGUUUUCUUCAGUCAAGACCCAGACUCAUCCACAUGACACGAUUUUCAUUUGCCUACCUCUCUCCCUUACAGAUAAGGAGUCAUUAAACGACCAGGAGGGCUGUUUAGCAGGAAGAUAGGUUAAUAGGUUAUGUCUCGCAUCCAGGUGUGCUUCUGGUGGUAACUGUGCCCAGGGAUGCCACCAAGCCUGUCCCACUGGACCUCACCUUGCCUUCCUCCUCCAGCUGCCUCUUGAGGUCCUCCAUCUGCUGGGUAUAGGAGAGCUUGCCCCGGGUCAGCUGGGAAAUCAGUGCCUCCUUUUCUUCCAGUUGCCUAGCCAGCUCGCCUGGAGGUAGAAUGAAGGUUUCUUGGGGCAUGGGAGCGGGGAAACCAAAGCUACUCGGGGCAGGCGAGGGGAUGGUCAGGGGCACCCACCGUUCUCUGUCUGCAGCUUGGCUCGCUGUGUGGUGAAGUCAUUGAGGGAGCGCUGGGCUUCUUCCAACUUCACCCGGUAUUCAUUGGCCUGGUCCUCCAGUGUCCGGGACACUUUCUCCAGGUUUGCCUUCAGGCAUUAACGAGCAGAUGAAAGGUGAAUGUGGGAGGAGCCAGGGCUGGCAGGGAAAGGGGGGUGUGGACCCCCCCGACCAGAAGAAGGGAAAGAGGGCAAGGAUGGGGGAGUGCUCAGAGGACAGGCAAGAGGGUGGGAUAGAGUAGAAAGGACUCAGUCUGAAGAAGGAAAUGCAUUAAAGAAAGAUUAGUAGAUAAAUGUGGGUGAAGGCUACGGAGAGGCAGGGUAGACAGGAGGUGAAGGCCAAAGGGCACUAAAGGGCAAGAGAUGGUACGGCUGUGAGGGGAAGUGGGGGUGCUGAGAAGGCCCACCUUGGCCUUGAUGAUCUGCUCCAUGUUGGAGGUGACGUCAUCCAGCUCCAGUUUGAACUCGCUCUUCUCUUUCUCCAGCUUCUGCUUCACCCGCUGUAGAUUGUCUAUCUGCUCGCCCAGCUCGGCCACGCUGUCUGCGUGCUUCUUGCGCAGGGCCGCGGCUGUGGCCUCAUGCUGCAGCGUGGCCUCCUCCAGGUCCCGCCGCAUCUUCUGGAACUCGGCCUCGCGCUUCUUGUUCAUCUCUAUCUGCACAGAUGUGGCCCCACCGGCUUCCUCUAGCCUCUCACUGAUCUCCUCCAGCUCCCGGGUCAGGUCUGAGCGCAGCUUCUCCACCUUGGCCCGGGCUGUGCGCUCGGCCUCUAGCUCCUCCUCCAGCUCCUCGAUGCGUGCCUAGUCAGGGACACAGAGGUUCAGACCUGCUUCCUGGACCCUCCAUUGAGGCCCCUGCUCCAGGGCUCUAAAAGGCUCCCAGAUCCCUAGCAUUGGUUUUCAGCCUCUAGGUAUAGCUAGCAACGCCUGGAGACGUUUUAAACUGUGCCAUAGUAGCUGUACGUAGAUGAAGCAAGGGGUGCUGACUCUAGAAUAGACUGACCGUCAUUAGGAAAUUGACCGAGGCCAAAGUUUAGAGGAUUUUUCAAAAACAUCUGAGACUCAGUUUGAGCAUCUGUAGCCUAAGUGUUGGGCAUUUGUGCUUGGAGUGCGAUCCUGAGACCUCCUGAGAUUAUGAACCCACGGUUUCACCUGACUCUGCUCCACUAACUAUAAGGCAAGGAAACAAGCACUCGUUUUUACUAACACUUGCAGCAAAGCUGCCUCGAGAGUAAUCAAAUACUAUCUGAGCUAACCAUGAAGUCCACUCAACUGUAUUCCCCACACUUCAUGGCUUCCUUGGUUAUGCUCCAGCUCAGACUGUAACUUGAUUGCUCCUUUCCAAGGCAGGCUUGUGUACCAACAACUUGCCCUCUUCUUCAUGCUCCUACCUCAUUGUUGUGGCCUUAGUCUUGGUCUUGACUAAAUCUGGAGCGUGCUCAUCUGCCAUUUUGGUCUUUGGUCUCUACAGGGAAGAUUUGUGGGAUUCUACUUUUUGGCACAAUGGGUAACUUUACCAUAGAGCAGAUCCUGGGGUAGGAAAGAGGGGACCUAUACUUCUACUCGGAGAAGGUAGGACUUGAAACACAGACCCUACUCAGAAGAAGGAGGUGUUAUAGCCUAGUGCCAAGACUCGGUGAAAAUAACAACAUUAUUAUAUCCUGGAGGCCAAAGAACUUGCCCAGAUUUGUGGCAGAAGACCCAGGGGGAUGGCUCAGCAUUCUGGGUUCAAUUAAAAAAAAGGUGUACCCAAGAAGAUGGGGAAACAAACCACACACAUGAGCACAGGUAAGCCUCAGUUUACAGCCUUCCUGCCAGCGUCCAGGUGAGAACAGUAUGAGGGAGGCUAGGUGACUUACUCCAGGGAGUGGGAGUUAACUGUAUUCAGGAAUGCCUGUGGUUCUCAGCCUGUGUGAGAGGGCGGGCUUAGCACUCAAGAACUGUGAACAGAGAAGCUCCUGGGAAGAGGGUUUGCCUCAACCCUGUGCUGAGAGGGAAGAGAGGAUUGGAGGAGAACUGAGCCCUCUCAGUUGUUCCACAACAGAAAGUCCAACAGGCAGAGAGCAUCUUGGGGAAAAGAAGCCCUAUUAGUAGGCAUGAUUCUCCCCCAAAACAGCUUUGCUAAGAAGAUGACAUAGUCUUGCCCAACCGUGGGAAGGCUAGCGUUCCCGUAUAAGGAGUGCUUGGGUCCUGGGCUGCCUGGAGUCCCAGACAUUGUCUAGAACCUCAAACACCCCCUACAGCCUCCGGCUCUGAGCUCCCUUCGGCCACCCUGGGAAGUAAUCACCUGGUUUUCCUUCAGUUUCUUCUGCAGCUGAAGGGCCAGGGCCUGCUCAUCCUCUAUUUUACUGUUCUGCUGACUGAUGUCAAACUCUUUCCUGGAGUAGAAGGGACGCGUAAGUGAUGGUCGUCCUUCCUCUGGGCCUGUCUUUAUCACUCUAUGCCAGAACCAGCCCCCCAAAACCUGGCUCAGACAGCAAUGGGGUAGAGCCUUGACUGCCCUCACUUUCAGUGUGCCCAGGGAAGUGAAGCCAGCAGAAGUGUAGCACUCAGUGCCCUGGCUACCAGGCCAGAAACACCCCUUGUCACCCCUCCAGCCCCCGCCCACCACAGAGCAUACUUCUUGAGCUUUUCCUCCAGCUGAAGCUUGUCGUUCUCCAGGUCCAUGAUGCUCUCCUGGGUCAGCUUCAGGUCACCCUCCAGCUUCCGCUUUGCUCGCUCCAGGUCCAUGCGCACCUUCUUCUCCUGCUCCAGGGAUCCCUCCAGCUGGCAGAGAGAAUUAAAUGAAUAAGGUGCUGGAAAGACUGGGAUUCACAGUGUGUGCCUUAGUCUUGUCCUGACUGAAUGUCCAUGGGGGUUGGUACUUGGAGAUUUGCCUGACGAGGAAUCACAGAGAGCGGAGAAGCUCCCCGGGUCGUAGGACUUAGAUGCAGAGGGGGAGAUUCCUCACCUACAGGCGUUGGCUAUGAAGUCCUGAUCUGAGAAGGAUGGAGCAUAGCUCUCACCACUUACAUCAUCCACCUGCUGCUCCAGCUUGACUUUAGACUUGAUCAGUGUGUUGACCUUGUCUUCCUCAGCCUGAAGGUCAUCUAGGGCUUGCUGGUGGGCCUCUUGAAGAGCUUUCUUCUCCUUGGUCAGCUUGGCAAUGAUCUCGUCCAGCCCGGCCAUCUCCUCUGUCAGGUUUUUAACCUUCCAAGAAAGAAUAAACAUCAAUAAAUAAGUCCACAUAGCUUUUGAGGAUCAAAGGGUGCCAUCGUGCAGACACCUAUAAAGGCGCUACCAACUACGCCCAUACUCUGGUCUGGAAAUCAGAAGGAGCCGGCCUCACCUUGUUCUCUGUUGCGUGCUUUUCCUUCUCCACCUUGGCCAGGGUCAGCUCCAGGUCAUCGAUAUCUUUCUUGAGCUCUGAGCACUCGUCUUCCAGCUUGCGCUUCUUGGCCGUGAGCUCGGCGUUCAUCUCCUCCUCGUCCUCCAGCCUCUCGGUCAUCUCCUUCACCUUGGCCUCCAGCUGGAUCUUGUUCUUGAUCAGCUGGUCGCAGCGCUCCUCGGCAUCUGCCAGGUUGUCUUGUUCCUGGGGGCGAGGGACAGGAGUCAAGGAUCAAAGAGAUUAAAGAGAGGGAAGAUGCAGGGUCUGGCAAAGGGCUGGAGCUUCCAGAUUCCCAGACUCUGGGGAUGAGGUGGGCAAAGGAUCCAGGAGACAGGAAAGGAGAGAGACGAGAGAGCCAUGUGGCCUCACCGCCUGCACUUGGAGCUGCAGGUCAUUCUUCUCCUGCAGCAGGGACACCAUCUUCUCCUCCAGCUCCUUGCGGCGAGCCUCAGACUUCUCUAGUGCAUCUUUGACUCGCCCGAACUCCUCCUUCAUGUUGGCCAUCUCCUUC